AUUGAACGCUGGCGGCAGGCCUAACACAUGUAAGUCGAGCGGAUGAAGGGAGCUUGCUCCUGGAUUCAGCGGCGGACGGGUGAGUAAUGCCUAGGAAUCUGCCUGGUAGUGGGGGAUAACGUCCGGAAACGGGCGCUAAUACCGCAUACGUCCUGAGGGAGAAAGUGGGGGAUCUUCGGACCUCACGCUAUCAGAUGAGCCUAGGUCGGAUUAGCUAGUUGGUGGGGUAAAGGCCUACCAAGGCGACGAUCCGUAACUGGUCUGAGAGGAUGAUCAGUCACACUGGAACUGAGACACGGUCCAAACUCCUACGGGAGGCAGCAGUGGGGAAUAUUGGACAAUGGGCGAAAGCCUGAUCCAGCCAUGCCGCGUGUGUGAAGAAGGUCUUCGGAUUGUAAAGCACUUUAAGUUGGGAGGAAGGGCAGUAAGUUAAUACCUUGCUGUUUUGACGUUACCAACAGAAUAAGCACCGGCUAACUUCGUG
Molecule: ribosomal RNA, 484 nt
Filed under: uncultured bacterium
Lineage: Bacteria
Description: partial 16S ribosomal RNA
Rfam family: Bacterial small subunit ribosomal RNA
Source: RNAcentral